CCUGUGCCAGCAUGUGUGUCUGUGUGCAUGCAUGCAUAUAUGUGAGUGUGUGCAAGUGUGUACAUGCAUGUGCUUGCCUGUGUGCGUGCGUGCCUGAGCGUGUCAAUGUGUGCAAGCAUUAUGUGCAAGUGUGAGUAUGUGUUUAUGCGUGUGCAUGCAUGUAUGUAAGUGUGUGUGUGUAUGUGGGUGUGUGUCUACACUGAAGGCACUUGGAGAUUGCAGGGCUACUCAGGGCAUUUCUGGCCUCCCCAACACUGGCUUGAGACUGUGUGCAGAGACCUGGAGCCCUCUCUCUCCUCGCUUUCUCCUGUAGGCAGGGUUGUAGCCUUCUAUGGGUCCCCAAUAUGUGCAGUGGUCAAGGAGUCGACAUUCAGAGACAAAGGCAGAUGCCUCAGCUGGGAGGAGCUAGUAUCCACUUCAGUGACUGGGGGGAGCUCACCCUGUGAUUCCAGGGGGCAGGGAAGUCCCACUGAGUAUCCUCCCAACACCCAUCAGAACUCUGACCUCCGCCUGGUUCUCUCCACAGGGCAGGGUGAAACUGCCAAGCCACUCAGACGGGACACAAAUGAUCUUCAAUGCCGCCAAGGAGCUGGGCCAGCUGUCCAAACUGAAGGAUCACAUGGUGCGAGAAGAAGCCAAGAGCUUGACCCCGAAGCAGUGUGCCGUGGUUGAACUGGCCCUGGACACCAUCAAGCAAUACUUCCACGCGGGGGGCGUGGGCCUCAAGAAGACCUUUCUCGAG
Molecule: long non-coding RNA, 742 nt
Filed under: Rattus norvegicus (Norway rat)
Lineage: Eukaryota; Metazoa; Chordata; Mammalia; Rodentia; Muridae
Description: long non-coding RNA NONRATT011851
Source: RNAcentral